CCGCGCCGCUCUGCCAGAGCCUAUUGACUCCCACCCUGCAUUUGCCCGGCUCUCCCCAGCCGGGCUUUUUUUUGUGAGGU
RNAcentral lists this unclassified non-coding RNA (80 nucleotides) under Halomonas sp. A3H3. Its description in RNAcentral is "suhB". The record is from RNAcentral. Lineage: Bacteria; Pseudomonadati; Pseudomonadota; Gammaproteobacteria; Oceanospirillales; Halomonadaceae.